Molecule: transfer RNA, 84 nt
Filed under: Nitrosopumilales archaeon
Lineage: Archaea; Thermoproteati; Nitrososphaerota; Nitrososphaeria; Nitrosopumilales
Also listed under: 4 other names
Description: tRNA-Ser
Rfam family: tRNA
About the family: Transfer RNA (tRNA) molecules are approximately 80 nucleotides in length.
Source: RNAcentral
GCCGGGAUCGCCUAGCCUGGUAGGGCGCGCGCCUGGAAAGCGCGUACUCGCAAGGGUUCGAGAGUUCAAAUCUCUCUCCCGGCG